Molecule: ribosomal RNA, 253 nt
Filed under: uncultured bacterium
Lineage: Bacteria
Description: partial 16S ribosomal RNA
Rfam family: Bacterial small subunit ribosomal RNA
Source: RNAcentral
UACGGGGGGUGCAAGCGUUGUUCGGAAUUACUGGGCGUAAAGGGUUCGUAGGCGGCUAACUAAGUCAGACGUGAAAUCCCUCGGCUUAACCGGGGAACUGCGUCUGAUACUGGAUGGCUUGAGUUCGGGAGAGGGAUGCGGAAUUCCAGGUGUAGCGGUGAAAUGCGUAGAUAUCUGGAGGAACACCGGUGGCGAAGGCGAGUCUCUGGGCCGAAACUGACGCUGAGGAGCGAAAGCGUGGGGAGCAAACAGG